This 393-nucleotide ribosomal RNA is filed under the name uncultured bacterium. Its description in RNAcentral is "partial 16S ribosomal RNA". It matches the Rfam family "Bacterial small subunit ribosomal RNA", at positions 523 to 918 of the family's 1533-position model. The record is from RNAcentral.
AUACGGAGGAUGCGAGCGUUAUCCGGAUUUAUCGGGUUUAAAGGGUGCGUAGGCGGGCUGUUAAGCGUGAGGUGAAAGCUCGGGGCUCAACCCCGGAACUGCCUCGCGAACUGGCGGUCUUGACUGUCCGCGCCGUGGGGGGAAUGUGUGGGGUAGCGGGGGAAUGCAUAGAGAUCACACAGAACACCGAUUGCGAAGGCAUCUCACGAACGGAUGAUUGACGCUGAGGCACGAAAGCGUGGGGAUCAAACAGGAUUAGAUGCCCUGGUAGUCCACGCAGUAAACGAUGAUGGCUAACCGCUGGGUCAUACGAUUCAGUGGCCAAGCGAAAGCGAUAAGCCAUCCACCUGGGGAGUACGACCGCAAGGUUGAAACUCAAAGGAAUUGACGGGG